RNAcentral lists this ribosomal RNA (490 nucleotides) under uncultured bacterium. RNAcentral describes it as "partial 16S ribosomal RNA". It matches the Rfam family "Bacterial small subunit ribosomal RNA", at positions 30 to 507 of the family's 1533-position model. The record is from RNAcentral.
AUUGAACGCUGGCGGCAGGCCUAACACAUGCAAGUCGAACGGUAACAGGAAGAAGCUUGCUUCUUUGCUGACGAGUGGCGGACGGGUGAGUAAUGUCUGGGAAACUGCCUGAUGGAGGGGGAUAACUACUGGAAACGGUAGCUAAUACCGCAUAACGUCGCAAGACCAAAGAGGGGGACCUUCGGGCCUCUUGCCAUCGGAUGUGCCCAGAUGGGAUUAGCUAGUAGGUGGGGUAACGGCUCACCUAGGCGACGAUCCCUAGCUGGUCUGAGAGGGUGACCAGCCACACGGGAACUGAGACACGGUCCAGACUCCUACGGGAGGCAGCAGUGGGGAAUAUUGCACAAUGGGCGAAAGCCUGAUGCAGCCAUGCCGCGUGUAUGAAGAAGGCCUUCGGGUUGUAAAGUACUUUCAGCGGGGAGGAAGGGAGUAAAGUUAAUACCUGUGCUCAUUGACGUUACCCGCAGAAGAAGCACCGGCUAACUCCGUG